GGUUAAAAACUGAGGGGAUGAGCUGUGGAUAGGGGUGAAAGGCCAAUCAAACUUCGUGAUAGCUGGUUCUCUCCGAAAUGCAUUUAGGUGCAGCGUUGCGUGGUUCUUGUUGGAGGUAGAGCACUGGAUGGUCUAGGGGGCUUAUCGGCUUACCGAAAUCAGCCAAACUCCGAAUGCUGGCAAGUGUAGCGUGGCAGUGAGACGGCGGGGGAUAAGCUUCGUCGUCGAGAGGGAAACAGCCCAGAUCAUCAGCUAAGGCCCCUAAGUGGUGACUCAGUGGGAAAGGAUGUGGAGUUGCGUAGACAACCAGGAGGUU
This 316-nucleotide ribosomal RNA is filed under the name Ochromonas sp. CCMP1393. Its description in RNAcentral is "partial Bacterial large subunit ribosomal RNA". It matches the Rfam family "Bacterial large subunit ribosomal RNA", at positions 787 to 1102 of the family's 2925-position model. The record is from RNAcentral. Lineage: Eukaryota; Chrysophyceae; Chromulinales; Chromulinaceae.